GACUGGGAUGGGGGUGAGGGUUGUUAUUUCCCCCCUCACAUCAAUUUAACUGCUGCUGGAGCCUGUUGGGGAACACCCCAAAACCAGGGGCUCAUUGCCCAAGGGCGGGCUGAUGCCAUUUUCCUUCCAGAGGGAGAAAAGCGAGAAGCUUGGAGGCUGGCUUGGGGCUGACAGGGGCACAAUUAAGGAGAUUUUUUUAGUUUUUUAGGUUUUUGCUCGCACGCAUCACCCUGACGGAUUAGCGCGCCCCUUCAGUGGGGCGGCACGGGAUAUCCUAAAUACAAACACACACACAUAUACAUUUAUUUACUUUAUUUGUAAGUGAAUUUAUUUAUUUAUUUAUUUAUUUAUUUAUUUUUAUAUAAGUGCAAACAAGGAACACCCAACGAGCCUCCUCAGCCCCCGAGGCCCCAGCGCUGUGUGACGGCUCCCCUCAGCGGGCCCGCUGCCCCCCUGAGGCACAAAGCGGCGAGCCGCGAGGCCUUCUGGGACUUGUAGUUCUUUCCCUGACAACAACCAAUCCACUUUGCUGCGCGUCUUGCCCGGACCGGACUACAUUUCCCGACAGGAAGCUGGCGGGCGGGACCGCAUUUCCCCGCCCCUCCAGCGGCAAUCCCGGGCUCUGAUUGGCGGGCGGGGCGGCGCGGGGGCGGGGCCUCGCUGUGGAGAAGCAGCGGGGCGGGCGGCGCUGAGGGGAGCGGGCGGCGGCUGCGGCCCCUCGGGUCCCUGCGGAGCCCUCCCGGCGAUGCCCGGUGCCGCGGAGUGAAGCCGCCGCCUCCUUUCUCCUCUUUCUUCUUCCCCUUCUUCACCCGAGAUGGGCGACGUGAACUCCAACGUGCCCCUGACGGCCGCCCGCAGCACCGGCGACGCGCAGCUGGACCGGGCGGUGUGGCAGUGGCUGAGCUGGGACAAGGCAAAGAGUGCCUGCAACACCAAGACUGCUCGGAGGGAGAGCUGUGAACUGCAGCUCUGCUGGCAGGACCUUCGCCUUGAGAUCUAACCCUGGCAGCAAACAUUAUUUACGUGAUGGGGAGCGAAACGAUCAGUGAGAAAUACUCUGUGCCCUCGCACCUUAAUUCUGCAGUUGUUUCAGCUUGUGUCCCA
RNAcentral lists this long non-coding RNA (1104 nucleotides) under Anas platyrhynchos platyrhynchos (common mallard). RNAcentral describes it as "lncRNA (ENSAPLG00000023655.1)". The record is from RNAcentral. Lineage: Eukaryota; Metazoa; Chordata; Aves; Anseriformes; Anatidae.